This 406-nucleotide ribosomal RNA is filed under the name uncultured bacterium. RNAcentral's name for it is "partial 16S ribosomal RNA". It matches the Rfam family "Bacterial small subunit ribosomal RNA", at positions 30 to 526 of the family's 1533-position model. The record is from RNAcentral.
AUUGAACGCUGGCGGCAGGCCUAACACAUGCAAGUCGGACGAGUGGCGGACGGGUGAGUAAUGUCUGGGAAACUGCCCGAUGGCGGGGGAUAACUACUGGAAACGGUAGCUAAUACCGCAUACCAUCGGAUGUGCCCAGAUGGGAUUAGCUUGUAGGUGGGGUAAUGGCUCACCUAGGAGACGAUCCCUAGCUGGUCUGAGAGGAUGACCAGCCACACUGGAACUGAGACACGGCCCAGACUCCUACGGUAGGCAGCAGUGGGGAAUAUUGCACAAUGGGCGCAAGCCUGAUGCAGCCAUGCCGCGUGUAUGAAGAAGGCCUUCGGGUUGUAAAGUACUUUCAGCGAGGAGGCGUUACUCGCAGAAGAAGCACCGGCUAACUCCGUGCCAGCAGCCGCGGUAAUAC